CAGUAGCCGCGGUAAUACAGAGGGUGCGAGCGUUAAUCGGAUUUACUGGGCGUAAAGCGUGCGUAGGCGGCUUCUUAAGUCGGAUGUGAAAUCCCUGAGCUUAACUUAGGAAUUGCAUUCGAUACUGGGAAGCUAGAGUAUGGGAGAGGAUGGUAGAAUUCCAGGUGUAGCGGUGAAAUGCGUAGAGAUCUGGAGGAAUACCGAUGGCGAAGGCAGCCAUCUGGCCUAAUACUGACGCUGAGGUACGAAAGCAUGGGGAGCAACAGGAUUAGAUACCCCAGUAGUCCCUGUCUCUUAUACA
This 301-nucleotide ribosomal RNA is filed under the name uncultured bacterium. Its description in RNAcentral is "partial 16S ribosomal RNA". It matches the Rfam family "Bacterial small subunit ribosomal RNA", at positions 509 to 808 of the family's 1533-position model. The record is from RNAcentral.